AGCGGCCCCACGGGAUGGGUGAAAACCACAGUCCGCAGUUUGUCACCAACUUCCCUCCCAGAGCCCAUGUGCCCCGGGACAAGGCAGGACGGGCUGCUCCCUGACCUCUGAACAGACUUUGUUCCCCCUCCGGUCCUGCCUGCGGUCUCCCCAGCUUGUCUAGGAGCUGCUCAGGACCAGAGCUUGAGAUCGGAUUCCUCUCUUAGCACGUCUGCUCCCGGCGGGCGGCCAGAGGGAUCCUUGAACCGGAGCCCAGGGCCCUCCUGGCUUCACUUCCCUCCACCUCUGUCCAAGGCCCAUUCCUUGGCCUUGAACCUCCCUUCCUGCCUCUGGGCCUUUGCACCUGCUUUGUCCUCAGUCUGGAAACUUCCCUGCCACCUUCCCACCCUUUGGUCCUACAGCCCUAACCUUGUUCUUAUGCUGAAAAACCUCCUCCUCUCCCCUAAGGCAUCCAAGUUGGGACCCUGCAGCCAGGAAUGUGACCUGAAAUGGCAAAAGAGACUGCAGAGGUGAUGAAGUUCAGGAUGGCGAGAGGGUCACCCUGCCUUCUCCACGCCCCAUCACGGGACCCUCUAGGAAGGAAGCAGAGGGAGGCUUCACAGCAGGAGAGAAGGUGACGGUGAGAGGACGGCAGAGAGGCCCUAGAAGCUGGGUGGGGAGGGCCGGGGCCGUGGAGCCCACCUGCAAUCCCAGCAGCUGGGGAGGCUGAGGCAGGAGGAUCUCGAGUUCAAAGCCAGCCUCAGCAACUUAGUGGGCCCUAAGCAACUCAGCGAGACCCUGUCUCAAAAAUAAAAAUAUUUUAAAAAGGGCUGGGGUGGGGCUCAGUGGCUAAGCGCCCCUGGGUUCAAUCCCUGGUACCAAAAAAAAAGAACAAAACUAAGUCACUGCCCCGGUGUCCCCAGGACCCUUGGUGACGACAACCUGUUCACAGAAACUCCACCAUCUGCUCGCCCCGGGCUCCUGGGGCGGGGACCAGCUGCCGUGCUCCUGCUCCUCACCCAGAACCUGCUCGGCACAAUGCGGGACAGUGGCCCAGUUCAUUCAUUUGUUUGUUAUCAAGUAUUUAUUGAGCACCGGUUGUUUGCCUGGCCCUGUUCCCGGGGCCUGGACACGGGCAGGGACCUUGUCCUUUUGUUGCUCUUUGAAUGUUUGGGUUCCUCCCCGCCUUCCCCCCCCUCCAGGGACUGCACCUGGGGGUGGCUAGGAGGAGGGGCCUGAGGUUGAUGGGGUCAUCAGGGUGGGGCCCUGGCGGAUGGGAUUAGUGCCCUCCCUGUCUGUCCGUCCAUCUGUCCGUCUCCCUAUGCACAUUUGAGCAGCCAGAGAAGAGGCCUCAGAGGGUCACCUCCUUUGCCGGCACCUUGGUGGUGGACUCCUGCUUCCAGGGCUUUGGGGAAAGCACUUCACUUGUUAGGAUGCCAGGCUCUGGUACUCUGUUCUGGCCGCCCAAGUGGACGGGGAGCCCCGCCACCUUUCACCGUCUCUCUCCAUCCUUUCCUUUUCGUGGAACCAGGAUUGAGCCCAGGGCCCUCAGCCACGGAGCCACACCCGCAGCCUUUUUAUAUUUUAUUUACAGAUGGGGUCUCGCUGGGUUGCUGAGGCUGGCCUCCAGCUUGCCAACCUCCUGCCUCAGCCUCCUGAGCCUCGGCCACUGCAGGGCCGUGCCAUCCUGAGCUUGUCAGCCACUUCCCUCCCGGAGCCCAUGUGCCCCGGGGACAAGGCAGGACGGGCUGCUCCCUGACCUCUGAACAGAUCGCGGUCCCUGAGUGUGGGUGUGUGGAGGGAGCCCAGGGCCUCGUGCUUGCUGGUGUCUCACUGAGCCGUGCCCGGCCUCUGUCAGCCCUGCCGCUGACCGCCCACUGCUCCCCUCACACUGGCGGUGGGGGCUUUAAUAGGUCCCCAACCUCUUCGAUGGCCCUCUGUCAAAAAGUGGACAUGAAUUCCCCUGGGGCACGCAGAGCACGGCAGAAGUGACCGCGUGUGACUUGGAGACAGACUCCCGCGGGGAGCUGUGGCGCCCUCCUUUCUCACUGGCCAUUGGCUCUGCCGGUCACCUGUCACAUGGACACUUGGGUGGCUCUGUGGAGAGGUCCAUGUGGCGAGGACCUGGGCGUCCCUGCAGAGCCCUGUGAGCCAGCCAAGAAGGGCCCCCGGAGGCCAGCAGCCCAGGUGCCACCUCGACUGUGACCUCAGGGCAGCUGUGGAGCCGCAGCCCCCCGCCCAGCCACCCCCAGACCCUCAGGAAGUGCUGAGGUUUGGCGUGACGUGUGACACACCAGUGGGUAACUAACAGAGUCACUUGAUGUAGGUUCUGUUCCUGGGUAGGGCAGGCCUCAUCCCUAUGACCACCAGUGUUUAUUGAGCACCUACUGUGCACCAGGAGCACUGAGGGACACACAAGAGGGAAGAGAAGAGACUAAACUCCUGUCUUGUGAGGAAGAGGGACGAUGAACAAGAAAGAAAUCCGGAUGUCACCUUGAGGGGUGUGUGAAACAAAUGCUGUGAAGAACAAAGCCAGACAUCUCUGGGGGUUCGGUGGCCCCUCCAGGGUGAUGUUGGAGCAGAGGCCUGAACGCAGUGUUGCAGGAAUCUGGGGGAACAGCCUUCCAGGCAGAGGGAAUGGCCAGUGCAAAGGCCCUGAGGCAGGAGUUGGGUUUAUUCAAACAAGAGCCAGGAGGCCCGUGUGGGCGCAGUGUCCCAGACCGGACAGGGUGGCAGGCCUUUAGCAUCUGGACUGGAGGUGAUCAGGAAACGAGACCUCACCUCUGGAGCCUCAGCUUCCUCUUCUGAGGAAUGGGCACACGGGCACCUCGUUCUGAGGCUAUUGUGGGGACUCAGGGAGCUUCUGCCUGUGGUUAGCAGCACAGGUCAAGCCCUUUGGAGACCCUGCUGCUGGGCAGCUUUUGCGGGAAGGGAUGCCCUCUCUGUGCUCAACACCUUUUACCGGAACGGGCUGAAGCGGCCCAGACUCCCCCUUGGUUCCCUGGUGCCAGGUCCCUCUUCCUCUUCCUCCUCCUCUCCUCUGCCCCUCCCCUUGCUCAGUCCUGAAUCAACUUUCCCGUGGGGGGAGGAAAACAGGGCAGGCUUCCUUCCUCUCCUGGGCGGGCUCCAGAGAGGGACCGGGCCAUUGUGUGUGCUGGCCUCAAGGUCAUUCCUGUCCCCUUCCCACCAGGCACUUGAGGACAGGCCGGCGGGGAAGCAGGGGAUGGCCGUGGGGGGGCUGAGAGGCCGAGGCCAUAGGGCUGGCCUCUGGCCUCGUGGCUUCCCGGGGAGAAGGAGCUGCCCGGCCUCCCCCGGCCAGGAGGGCCCUGGCAGCAGACCCCGUGGGAGGCCGCCGUCAGUCCCGGCCUGGCUCCUGCCCGACUGAGCCAAACCCUGGCUGGUCCCAGGUCCCUUCUCUCCUUGGAACCUCAUUUUUCUUCUUUCCCCCGACUCAGCCCUUACAUUAAGCUCCUUUCAACUCCCAGGAGCCGAAAAUCACCAGAGAGCCGAGCGGUGGCCCCGCCUGUGAUCCCAGCCACUCGGGAGGCUGAGGCAGGAGGAUCACAAGUUCAAAGCCAGCCUCAGCGACUCAGCGAGCCCCUGUCUCAAAAAAUACAAAGGGCUGGGAGGCGGCUCAGUGGUCACACGCGCCCUGGGUUCAAAAAAAAAAAAGAACAAAACCAGUCGCUGGAGUCGGCCUCCGCCCUCGCAUCCUCUGCCUCAGCCUCCCGGUGGCUGGGUGGACACAGCAGGUCUUCUGGGGAAGACGUCGAGAGCCAGCAGAGCUUCUGCUGCGAUCCCCUCUCCUGAACCUGUGGGGGCUCCCAGCGACACCAGAAGCCGGGACGUGUCACUUCUUAUCACUUGUCAAUUCCUCUGUCCCAGGGCAAAGGGCCCAACUCCCUCAGUUUAGGGCCUCACUAAGUGGCUGAGUCUGGCCUUGAACUCGCGAUCCUCCUGCCUCAGCCUUCCGAGUCGCUGGGGUUAUGGGUGUGCGCCCCUGCUCCCAGUUAUUUUGUGGUGCUUGCUGCUCUUUCCUGGACUGUAAGGAGGGGUUGGACUGCUGGGAGGAUUCAGUAGAAGGAGCCCAGAGAUACCCGAGGGACGGGAGACUGGGUCCUGGGGACAUCUGAGCCUCUUCCCCUGAGGAUAUGGAAUCUGCUUGACCNGCUCUAAGGCCGGCAGGACAGAGCUUGCCAAGGGCCCACCUGGGGCUCACCUGGGGCUCACCUGGGGCUCGCGGGCUCUGCCAUCCUUAAAACCAGAACCCUGAGGUUCCUCAGGGCAGCAACAGGACUGUCCUUCCCAGGCUCCCUUGCAGUAGGGCCAUCGUGUGACUAAGAGCUGACCAAUGAGACAUAGGUCACAGUUGGUCCGUGGGACUUUGGAGAAAGUGCCUUAGAAGGGUGUCUCCCAUAAACGAGCUUGAGGCUGAUUUUCCCCUUUGUGCCCUUCUUUCUAUUUCUUGCCUGGAACACAGUGAGACCUCUGCAGCUCCUGCAGCCAUUUUGGACCAUGAGGUGAUUGAGAGAAUAGAAGCCUCAAGCUAAGGAAGAUGGAGCAGGUAGAACUCUCUGGGGACUCCACUCCAGCUCUGAAUAAUCUCUUUCUGGACAUUUUUUAUGCACGAGAAAAAUGACAUUUUAGAGACAGGGUCUCACUAAGUUAUGCAGGGCCUCUCUAAGUUGCUGAGCCUGGCUUGUGAUCCUCCUGCCUCAGCCUCCGGAGCUGUUGGGAUGCUUUUAUCUUUUUUUUUUUUUAAAACUCUUCCCUCUUUUCUUCCCCUGAUUUAUUUUAUGAACUUUGAUUUAUGAACUUUUCCACUUUCUUCAGUGGAAAACUUGUUUUGUCAUUUCCAAGCUUCCCCCCACCUCAGUACUCUUGGUGCCUUAAAGCAGUUAAGCUAUGAUUUUCUGUCCAAGGGUGGCCUUAGUCAGAUGCCACGGAUUUUGAUAUGUAGCGUUUCGACUCUCUUGUUUCUUGUUGACAUCUUACAUCUUAAUGGUCUCUGUAAUCCAAGUAUCAUACUUUGGAAAUUUUUUUUUCAUGUGGAUAGAAUUUUGGUGGGGGAGGGAGGAGUCUAUAGCUUCUGAAUUGAAAUCUACAUUUGGUUCUUUUCUAGUUUAAAUAACACAGUCACCUGCCACUUGAACUCAGCCUUUGAAGAAAGGGCUCUGAGGCUUUAAAAAACAGGUUGGAGACUGGGCAUGGUGGGGUACGCCUGUGAUCCCAGUGACUCAGGAGGCUGAGGCAGGAGGAUAACAAGUUUGAGGCCAACCUCAGCAACACAGCGAGGGCCUAAGCAACUCAGCGAGAUUCUGUCUGAAAAUAAAAAAGCAGAAAGGGCUUCGAUGGAGCUCAGUGGUAAGAAAC
This 5352-nucleotide long non-coding RNA is filed under the name Marmota monax (woodchuck). Lineage: Eukaryota; Metazoa; Chordata; Mammalia; Rodentia; Sciuridae. The record is from RNAcentral.